GCAAUCUCAAGUCCAACUAGGAGCAGAGACCAUCCCUAAUACCUAACCAUAACCAACCCACACCCUAUGUCAGAUAAAUUCCAAACAUAUAACAAGGCUAAACAAUAAUAAUACCAAGACAUUAGAUAAAGUCUAUAAUCAUAAUCCAAAAACCUCAACCAAAUAUCCCACUAGUGCAAACUCAAAUGUCAAUACUAAUACCAAGGCUCAUACCAAUACCAACACUACCCAUGACCAUAGUAAUCCGACAAAGCCUCUAACUAGAAUCAAGUAACAUCCAAUCUAUACAUGCCCCCG
Molecule: long non-coding RNA, 297 nt
Filed under: Capsicum annuum
Lineage: Eukaryota; Viridiplantae; Streptophyta; Magnoliopsida; Solanales; Solanaceae
Description: long non-coding RNA (CANN_LNC017366)
Source: RNAcentral